CAGCAGCCACGGUAAUACGGAGGGUGCGAGCGUUAAUCGGAAUAACUGGGCGUAAAGGGCACGCAGGCGGACUUUUAAGUGAGGUGUGAAAUCCCCGGGCUUAACCUGGGAAUUGCAUUUCAGACUGGGGGUCUAGAGUACUUUAGGGAGGGGCAGAAUUCCACGUGUAGCGGUGAAAUGCGUAGAGAUGUGGAGGAAUACCGAAGGCGAAGGCAGCCCCUUGGGAAUGUACUGACGCUCAUGUGCGAAAGCGUGGGGAGCAAACAGGAUUAGAUACCCCCGUAGUCCCUGUCUCUUAUAC
Molecule: ribosomal RNA, 301 nt
Filed under: uncultured bacterium
Lineage: Bacteria
Description: partial 16S ribosomal RNA
Rfam family: Bacterial small subunit ribosomal RNA
Source: RNAcentral